UACGUAGGGGGCAAGCGUUAUCCGGAAUUAUUGGGCGUAAAGAGUACGUAGGUGGCAACCUAAGCGCAGGGUUUAAGGCAAUGGCUCAACCAUUGUUCGCCCUGCGAACUGGGAUGCUUGAGUGCAGGAGAGGAAAGCGGAAUUCCUAGUGUAGCGGUGAAAUGCGUAGAUAUUAGGAGGAACACCAGUGGCGAAGGCGCCUUUCUGGACUGUAACUGACACUGAGGUACGAAAGCGUGGGGAGCAAACAGG
Molecule: ribosomal RNA, 252 nt
Filed under: uncultured bacterium
Lineage: Bacteria
Description: partial 16S ribosomal RNA
Rfam family: Bacterial small subunit ribosomal RNA
Source: RNAcentral